This 474-nucleotide ribosomal RNA is filed under the name uncultured organism. RNAcentral's name for it is "partial 16S ribosomal RNA". It matches the Rfam family "Bacterial small subunit ribosomal RNA", at positions 330 to 796 of the family's 1533-position model. The record is from RNAcentral.
CGUACACUCCUGCGGGAGGCAGCAGUGGGGAAUUUUGGACAAUGGGCGCAAGCCUGAUCCAGCCAUGCCGCGUGCGGGAAGAAGGCCUUCGGGUUGUAAACCGCUUUUGUCAGGGAAGAAAAGGUUCUGGCUAAUACCUGGGACUCAUGACGGUACCUGAAGAAUAAGCACCGGCUAACUACGUGCCAGCAGCCGCGGUAAUACGUAGGGUGCAAGCGUUAAUCGGAAUUACUGGGCGUAAAGCGUGCGCAGGCGGUUAUGCAAGACAGAGGUGAAAUCCCCGGGCUCAACCUGGGAACUGCCUUUGUGACUGCAUGGCUAGAGUACGGUAGAGGGGGAUGGAAUUCCGCGUGUAGCAGUGAAAUGCGUAGAUAUGCGGAGGAACACCGAUGGCGAAGGCAAUCCCCUGGACCUGUACUGACGCUCAUGCACGAAAGCGUGGGGAGCAAACAGGAUUAGAUACCCUAGUAGUCC